Molecule: ribosomal RNA, 563 nt
Filed under: Orbulina universa
Lineage: Eukaryota; Foraminifera; Rotaliida; Globigerinidae
Description: bacterial SSU rRNA
Rfam family: Eukaryotic small subunit ribosomal RNA (bases 1-414)
Source: RNAcentral
ACGAAUAAUGAAUGGUCCAGGGUAGGCAAAAACUAAUAGCUCUUUUAUGAUUAUGUGAUAGGUGGUGCAUGGCCGUUCUUAGUUCGUGGAGUGAUCUGUCUGCUUAAUUGCGUUUCAAAACAACUGAUACACAGAGUCUUGGCACAGUUCAGUUUAAUGGCGUCGAGUAUCUUUGAUUUCGACAGUAGUCCAACUCGGUUCGCCAGGGUCUCUUUUGAACGCAACGGACGUGAUCGCAACCCUUUGUUGAGUGAUGUCAGCACUCUACGUCUAUCCUAGCUCGUUGAUCGCAAGUGAGAGUUGGGUGGGCAAACUCAGGGGACAGCUUCAACUAUUCUUCUUCAAACUAGAGGAAGGUUGCGGCAAUAACAGGUCUGUGAUGCCCUCAGAUGUUCUAGGCUGCACACGUGCUACAUUGAUCAGCACAAUGCGAUACAUUUCGAAAGGAAACAUCGGUUUUAAGGUAACGUCGAUUGCCUACCGAUAGCACCUGGUCCCCAGUGGACUGGGCAAUCUCUUCUAAAUGCUGGUAAGGUACCCACACUCGAGCUAUUUAAUCACAC